CGUAGGGUGCAAGCGUUGUCCGGAAUUAUUGGGCGUAAAGAGCUCGUAGGCGGUUUGUCGCGUCGGCUGUGAAAACCUGAGGCUCAACCUCAGGCCUGCAGUCGAUACGGGCAGACUAGAGUCCGGCAGGGGAGACUGGAAUUCCUGGUGUAGCGGUGAAAUGCGCAGAUAUCAGGAGGAACACCGGUGGCGAAGGCGGGUCUCUGGGCCGGAACUGACGCUGAGGAGCGAAAGCGUGGGAGCGAACAGGAUU
RNAcentral lists this ribosomal RNA (253 nucleotides) under uncultured bacterium. RNAcentral describes it as "partial 16S ribosomal RNA". It matches the Rfam family "Bacterial small subunit ribosomal RNA", at positions 526 to 779 of the family's 1533-position model. The record is from RNAcentral.